Cygnus atratus (black swan) is the source of this 1339-nucleotide long non-coding RNA. RefSeq lists it as uncharacterized. Lineage: Eukaryota; Metazoa; Chordata; Aves; Anseriformes; Anatidae. The record is from RefSeq and is a predicted model, not a curated record. The transcript is spliced from 3 exons.
ACUACCUUGUGUGACAUCUUUAAGAUAACCACUCAGUCAAGGCGGAAAAUUUCAGCCUGGAGGUUACAUGUUGGUAAAUCUACCAGCAAAGAAGUAACAGGCAGCGCAUGAGGCUCACCGAAAAAGGGAAAAGUUGUCAAAACCAUGAGUGAAACCAAAAAACAGAAGUCGCUGUGAGGCAGCAAAACCCAAUCUCAUCCCCCGGGUCACGUUUCGCCGUCCCACCUGGAGCGAGGCUGCGGUGGCUGCACUCCGGCUGCUGCGCGGCUGCGGGCAGAACCCUCUCGGGCAGGAGUUUCUCCACGAUCGGCGAUGCCUCACCAAGAAAAACACUGGGAGUCAGACGUUAGAGAACCCUGAAUGAAGUUUGUGGAGCAAAGCGUCUCAAAUUGUUCCCUGGAUCCACAGCAGCUGCUAGAUCCUUCCUGUGGCACAAAUGGACUCCACACUGAUGCUCUUACAGUGCUUCUAGAGUGACCACCAAGUUCAGACUCAGCCUUGAUAUUCAUAUCUCAUUUAUCUUCAAUUUUGAACAGGUUUCUAAGUUCUUAACCUUGUUAUUACAAAACUUAUGUGACCUAUCCUUUCUAUCUUCUAAUUAAACCAACAUAAACAAACAGCUGGCAGUCACUCGUAACAAGUAGAGAAACAGCACAAAAAGCCCCAGUAAAUAUCUCGUUGUCUGCAAUGAAAAUGCUACGGGCUCUUGUUUAAAAGAUGCUCCUAAAUAUAUUAAACCUAAAUAUAUUAAACCAUGAAUAAAUGUGUGAAAGAAAUAGUAAUAAGAAGUCAUAUAAAAAGCAUUUCAGCCUGCACCUUCAGUGGGCUAUUUCUGCAGCUCUUUGACUUCUGCUGCUUUUACUGGCAUUGGCUCAGUCCCCAGCACUGUGUGUCUGCUUGAGCUCUAACAGCAGAUGGCAGCUUACUCGAAAAUAGAGGGGCAAAAAGGAUUACUACAGGAGAAAACAAAGCAGAAAGAUCACUGGCACGCUCUGCCAGCCUGCUGCUGUUGGCAAGGUCACAUCAUUGAUCAACAGCAAAAUUCAGCCAUGAGCGAUCUCUGUGCUUGCCUAGGCUGGGGAAGUAAAGUGCUUUGCUUCUCUGUGUAGCAUUUACAGCAUAAAAGGAGCCUGGUCGCUUUUUAAAUAAUACAAUCGACAUUUCAUCGAGUCACCAGCGUAUAUGACCUGUCACUUUACAGUCACAGCACAAGCUCAUUGCCUGCACAAUGCUGCAAACACUGGUGUCAACAGAUCUGCCUCAGCUCCCUGUUCACCCUCCUCUUGAGAUUCGUCCAUGGCCUGAUGAAGAAGGGAAAGAGAAGCAAGGGUAAUUUAAC